GUGAUAUUCACAAGUUAUGGAAAAACACUGAGCCCCAUCUGCAGAGAGCCAUGCAGACGGUUUACCUCCGAGAGGUGUCCAGCAUGCAAUGGGAGCAGCAGCAGAUGGACAAGAAGGCGGCCACGACCCUCAGAGGUUUAUCAGCACAUGCUCACAUAGAGCUGCCGUAUUAUUCCAAGUUUCUUCUGAUUGCUGCUUACCUGGCUUCCUUUAACUCUGCUCGCACAGAUCGCCGCUUCUUCCUCAAGGUGUAUCGGAGCAUUCUGAUCUUUUCUUUAUUAUCUACAUACUAUCACGAGAUCUUACUGAAUCAUGACUGCACCUUCGUGAAUUAUGUGAUCACUAAAAAAAAGGCUUGUCUUUGCUUCGGAGUCACGGGAAAACAAGAGAGACUAAUUUCUUGAAGAAACAU
Sinocyclocheilus anshuiensis is the source of this 412-nucleotide long non-coding RNA. RefSeq lists it as uncharacterized. NCBI's taxonomy places the organism in Eukaryota, Metazoa, Chordata, Actinopteri, Cypriniformes, Cyprinidae. The record is from RefSeq and is a predicted model, not a curated record. The transcript is spliced from 3 exons.